RNAcentral lists this ribosomal RNA (462 nucleotides) under uncultured bacterium. Its description in RNAcentral is "partial 16S ribosomal RNA". It matches the Rfam family "Bacterial small subunit ribosomal RNA", at positions 29 to 507 of the family's 1533-position model. The record is from RNAcentral.
AUGCACGCUGACAGAAUGCUUAACCCAUGCAAGUCUUUGGCGAAGCUGUGCUUGCACAGCCUAGCCAAGGCGGACGGGUGAGUAACGCGUAAGGAACUUGCCCUGCAGUCAGGGAUAACAGACGGAAACGACUGAUAAGACCUGGUAAAGUCAGGCGGACUCAUGUCCAGCCUGAUGAAAAGAGAUGCUGCAGGAGAGCCUUGCGUCCUAUUAGCUUGUUGGUGGGGUAACGGCCCACCAAGGCGAUGAUAGGUAGCCGGCCUGAGAGGGUGGACGGCCACAAGGGGACUGAGAUACGGCCCUUACUCCUACGGGAGGCAGCAGUGGGGAAUAUUGGACAAUGGGGGCAACCCUGAUCCAGCAAUUCUGUGUGCACGAUGAAGGUUUUCGGAUUGUAAAGUGCUUUCAGCAGGGAAGAAAAAAAUGACGGUACCUGCAGAAGAAGCGACGGCUAAAUACGUG